AAAAUAUAAAAACCUAAUUUUACAUGGAGACCUAUAGUAGUCCAUAGUCACAAGUCUAUUACAUCAUGUGCACAAAGUCAAGAGGCUUUUACACUAGAACUUUUAAGAAAACAAGGAAAGAAGGCAUAGGAUAUAGUCUGAAAUAGUAGAGUAUAAAGGACAUGAAACCUUGUCAUGUAUAUCAAGCCCUUUGAAGCAAUGUACUCUACCCCUGUUUGGGUAUGAGAUCUAUAUAAAGACAAAAUCAAGAGCAUGAUUAUGCACCAAACUGCUACGGAACAGCCCUUAAACAACAGAGAAGUAGUAAUGACCCACUUAGUCAGGUUUCAAGUAUUUGAAGCCACAGAGUUUGUGCAGCUCUAAAUUCUCAAUCAAUAAAUCCAAGACUAAAAGACCAAGGCCAUAGGCAUACUAGAGUUAAA
This 422-nucleotide unclassified non-coding RNA is filed under the name Hevea brasiliensis (rubber tree). The record is from RNAcentral. Lineage: Eukaryota; Viridiplantae; Streptophyta; Magnoliopsida; Malpighiales; Euphorbiaceae.